RNAcentral lists this ribosomal RNA (1522 nucleotides) under metagenome. RNAcentral's name for it is "bacterial SSU rRNA". It matches the Rfam family "Bacterial small subunit ribosomal RNA". The record is from RNAcentral.
AGAGUUUGAUCAUGGCUCAGAUUGAACGCUGGCGGCAGGCCUAACACAUGCAAGUCGAACGGUAACAGGAAGAGGCUUGCUUCUUUGCUGACGAGUGGCGGACGGGUGAGUAAUGUCUGGGAAACUGCCUGAUGGAGGGGGAUAACUACUGGAAACGGUAGCUAAUACCGCAUAACGUCGCAAGACCAAAGAGGGGGACCUUCGGGCCUCUUGCCAUCGGAUGUGCCCAGAUGGGAUUAGCUAGUAGGUGGGGUAACGGCUCACCUAGGCGACGAUCCCUAGCUGGUCUGAGAGGAUGACCAGCCACACUGGAGCUGAGACACGGUCCAGACUCCUACGGGAGGCAGCAGUGGGGAAUAUUGCACAAUGGGCGCAAGCCUGAUGCAGCCAUGCCGCGUGUAUGAAGAAGGCCUUCGGGUUGUAAAGUACUUUCAGCGGGGAGGAAGGGAGUAAAGUUAAUACCUUUGCUCAUUGACGUUACCCGCAGAAGAAGCACCGGCUAACUCCGUGCCAGCAGCCGCGGUAAUACGGAGGGUGCAAGCGUUAAUCGGAAUUACUGGGCGUAAAGCGCACGCAGGCGGUUUGUUAAGUCAGAUGUGAAAUCCCCGGGCUCAACCUGGGAACUGCAUCUGAUACUGGCAAGCUUGAGUCUCGUAGAGGGGGGUAGAAUUCCAGGUGUAGCGGUGAAAUGCGUAGAGAUCUGGAGGAAUACCGGUGGCGAAGGCGGCCCCCUGGACGAAGACUGACGCUCAGGUGCGAAAGCGUGGGGAGCAAACAGGAUUAGAUACCCUGGUAGUCCACGCCGUAAACGAUGUCGACUUGGAGGUUGUGCCCUUGAGGCGUGGCUUCCGGAGCUAACGCGUUAAGUCGACCGCCUGGGGAGUACGGCCGCAAGGUUAAAACUCAAAUGAAUUGACGGGGGCCCGCACAAGCGGUGGAGCAUGUGGUUUAAUUCGAUGCAACGCGAAGAACCUUACCAGGUCUUGACAUCCACGGAAGUUUUCAGAGAUGAGAAUGUGCCUUCGGGAACCGUGAGACAGGUGCUGCAUGGCUGUCGUCAGCUCGUGUUGUGAAAUGUUGGGUUAAGUCCCGCAACGAGCGCAACCCUUAUCCUUUGUUGCCAGCGGUCCGGCCGGGAACUCAAAGGAGACUGCCAGUGAUAAACUGGAGGAAGGUGGGGAUGACGUCAAGUCAUCAUGCCCCUUACGACCAGGGCUACACACGUGCUACAAUGGCGCAUACAAAGAGAAGCGACCUCGCGAGAGCAAGCGGACCUCAUAAAGUGCGUCGUAGUCCGGAUUGGAGUCUGCAACUCGACUCCAUGAAGUCGGAAUCGCUAGUAAUCGUGGAUCAGAAUGCCACGGUGAAUACGUUCCCGGGCCUUGUACACACCGCCCGUCACACCAUGGGAGUGGGUUGCAAAAGAAGUAGGUAGCUUAACCUUCGGGAGGGCGCUUACCACUUUGUGAUUCAUGACUGGGGUGAAGUCGUAACAAGGUAACCGUAGGGGAACCUGCGGUUG